GCCCGCCGUCACAUCGACUUGCACGACAAGAUCACGGAUUCCCUCGUAAAAGAAACGUAUGAAAUCGGCAAGGUCAUUGGCCAUGGAGCGUCAGGAAAAGUGUAUGAAGUGACGCACAAGGUCACAG
RNAcentral lists this non-coding RNA (127 nucleotides) under Lingulaulax polyedra. The record is from RNAcentral. Lineage: Eukaryota; Dinophyceae; Gonyaulacales; Lingulodiniaceae.